RNAcentral lists this non-coding RNA (275 nucleotides) under Paraclostridium benzoelyticum. RNAcentral's name for it is "Bacterial small subunit ribosomal RNA". It matches the Rfam family "Bacterial small subunit ribosomal RNA", at positions 1 to 287 of the family's 1533-position model. Lineage: Bacteria; Bacillati; Bacillota; Clostridia; Peptostreptococcales; Peptostreptococcaceae. The record is from Rfam by way of RNAcentral.
AUAUUUGAGAGUUUGAUCCUGGCUCAGGAUGAACGCUGGCGGCGUGCCUAACACAUGCAAGUCGAGCGAUCUCUUCGGAGAGAGCGGCGGACGGGUGAGUAACGCGUGGGUAACCUGCCCUGUACACACGGAUAACAUACCGAAAGGUAUACUAAUACGGGAUAACAUAUAAAAGUCGCAUGGCUUUUGUAUCAAAGCUCCGGCGGUACAGGAUGGACCCGCGUCUGAUUAGCUAGUUGGUAAGGUAAUGGCUUACCAAGGCAACGAUCAGUAGC